GAUGAACGCUGGCGGCGUGCCUAAUACAUGCAAGUCGAGCGAACGGACGAGAAGCUUGCUUUUCUGAUGUUAGCGGCGGACGGGUGAGUAACACGUGGAUAACCUACCUAUAAGACUGGGAUAACUUCGGGAAACCGGAGCUAAUACCGGAUAAUAUUUUGAACCGCAUGGUUCAAAAGUGAAAGACGGUCUUGCUGUCACUUAUAGAUGGAUCCGCGCUGCAUUAGCUAGUUGGUAAGGUAACGGCUUACCAAGGCAACGAUGCAUAGCCGACCUGAGAGGGUGGGCGCCCACAGGGGAGGGGGAACCGGGCCCGGCCCCCUAGGGGAGGGAGAGGAAGGAAACCUCCAGAAGGGGGGAAAGGCCUAACGGAGCAGCGCGGGGUGGGUGAGAAGGGUUUUGGGAUCGAAAACCUGUUUAAUGGGGGAAAAAAAGAUGUGAAAGAAACUGUACACAUCUGGACGGUCCCUAAUAAAAAAGCCACGGAUAACUAGGUC
Molecule: ribosomal RNA, 497 nt
Filed under: uncultured bacterium
Lineage: Bacteria
Description: partial 16S ribosomal RNA
Rfam family: Bacterial small subunit ribosomal RNA
Source: RNAcentral